AUGCCAAACAACACCAUUAAAAGAUGUUUCUGGUUUCUUCUAGCUCUAACAUCCUACAACUCUUCAGCAACUGCUGUGAGGAAAAUAAUCAGAUUUUAUCAGAACAGAUCCAGUUUCUCACCUUUAACUCUGAUGUGGGAGAGUUAACUGAUACAAAGAAAUAACAUGAAACAAAAUUGGACUUUUUCAUCAGUUGGAGAAAUUGCAACUUGUGUUUAUCUAGCUGUUAUGACAUGCAAAAUAUUUUCUCAUGGCUUGGAAUUAAAAGGGAGUCAGAUGAAAUUGUGAGUAUUUGUUGAAAUCCUUGAAAAAGCUUUUAAAUGGUAGGGAAAUGCAAGUGGUAAAUAAACAGCCAUUAGGAAAUCAUGCAGAGAGAAAUUCCCAGAAACUGAAGGAUGUGGGGAAACCAGAGUGGGAAUUAGUAACAGAAAGAUUAGAGUGCACAUAGCAAUGGUGAUAAUAAAGCAGUGAGAAUAAUGCUUCCUCAGAUACCAAAUACUCUCCCCCAUUUUCAGAGAUGUGCAGUGAUCUGAGUACUG
This 539-nucleotide long non-coding RNA is filed under the name Canis lupus familiaris (dog). RNAcentral describes it as "lncRNA (ENSCAFG00030007877.1)". The record is from RNAcentral. Lineage: Eukaryota; Metazoa; Chordata; Mammalia; Carnivora; Canidae.